UCGGGAAUUUUGUGCAAUGGGCGAAAGCCUGACACAGCAACGCCGCGUGAAGGAUGAAGUCCCUCGGGAUGUAAACUUCGUAAGAAUAGGAAGAAUAAAUGACGGUACUAUUUGUAAGGUCCGGCUAACUACGUGCCAGCAGCCGCGGUAAUACGUAGGGACCAAGCGUUGUUCGGAUUUACUGGGCGUAAAGGGUGCGUAGGCGGCAUAUCAAGUCACUUGUGAAAUCUCCGGGCUUAACUCGGAACUGCCAAGUGAUACUGAUGUGCUAGAGUGCAGAAAGGGCAACUGGAAUUCUUGGUGUAGCAGUGAAAUGCGUAGAUAUGCGGAGGAACACCGAUGGCGAAGGCAAUCCCCUGGACCUGUACUGACGCUCAUGCACGAAAGCGUGGGGAGCAAACAGGAUUAGAUACCCGCGUAGUCCCUGAGCGGGCUGGCAAGGCGCAU
This 447-nucleotide ribosomal RNA is filed under the name uncultured bacterium. Its description in RNAcentral is "bacterial SSU rRNA". It matches the Rfam family "Bacterial small subunit ribosomal RNA", at positions 355 to 825 of the family's 1533-position model. The record is from RNAcentral.